This 283-nucleotide ribosomal RNA is filed under the name uncultured Dialister sp. RNAcentral describes it as "partial 16S ribosomal RNA". It matches the Rfam family "Bacterial small subunit ribosomal RNA", at positions 74 to 339 of the family's 1533-position model. Lineage: Bacteria; Bacillati; Bacillota; Negativicutes; Veillonellales; Veillonellaceae. The record is from RNAcentral.
AAGAGCUUGCUCUUCAAAUCGAGUGGCGAACGGGUGAGUAACGCGUGAGGAACCUGCCUCAAAGAGGGGGACAACAGUUGGAAACGACCGCUAAUACCGCAUAACCCGCUAGGGCCGCAUGGCCCAUGGAAGAAAAGGUGGCCUCUACCUGUAAGCUAUCGCCUGAAGAGGGGUUUGCGUCUGAUUAGCUGGUUGGAGGGGUAACGGCCCACCAAGGCGACGAUCAGUAGCCGGUCUGAGAGGAUGAACGGCCACACUGGAACUGAGACACGGCCCAAACUCC